AUUAAAUGUCUGACAUUUCCUAUUUUAGAAUGUACUUAAUAGAUUAACAUAUUUAGCAAAAAAGUAUGAAACUUUUAAUUAUGUAUAGUAAAAUAAUAAAUAAUUAUAACAAAUUAUAAUAUCUUCAAAGUAGCUUAGUGUAUCUAUCAAUCCAACAAUUUAAAACUAAAGAAAAUAAACCAUUUUAAACAUUAUUAAAUGUAUUGUUCAAAAUCAUGAAUGGAUAACAAUUGUUUCCAUUAAUUCGACAUCAUUUAAUUAAAAAAAAUUUAAACAAUUUACUGAAGAUUGGAUAAUGAGUCAAAAUUAUACGUAAAUUAAAAAAUAUACUAUUCAAGCUGAAUGUUACAAGUCACAAGUUUAUUAAAAGUAUAAUGAAUCUAAUUAUGACAAACAUUAAGAAUAAAUAUAGAAAGCUCAACUCAACAAAAUUAAUGUACACUGCUUUAUUUAUGUACAACAAAACAGCAUUAAAUUUGAACUAAUAUGCCUUUCCAUUGCAACUUGUAUAUAAGUCUAUGUAACAUUGAAUUUUUUCCAAGUUCUAUUUAUUUUUAUCAUAAGUUCAAAUGUCUUUUACUGCUUAUUACUUGAAAAAGUUACUAAUGAUAACAUACUAAAUACAAUAAUCCGUAGCAGGAGUUUUACUUACGAGAGCAUUAAUUUUGAACAGAACACAAUGUGAAGAGCAGCUGACUUUAUUUUAGUUCCAUUGUCCAUUAAUCUGUCAAAUUCAUUGUCAAUAAAAAAAAUGAUGAAUAAAAUGUCAAACAUUUAAGAAUCUUUCUUUAUUCUAAAAUUUUCAAAUAAUCAAUCAAUCAAUAAUGAUAUAUUAAUUAAAGAACAUCUAUUUAAAACAUAAACAAUAAAAUUGAAAACUUCAAAACUCUAACCAGAAUUCAAAAUUACAAGAAAACUAUGCUUUAUUGGCAUAAACUUUUAAAUAUUUCAAACUAAAAUCACUUUGACCAUUUUCAGCUCAUAAUCAGGUGUCUAAUUACUUCUAAAAGAACAGAAGUAAAUGUUAACAUUCUAAUCAUGUUAUCAAACCAUGCAAAGGGUAUCAGAAAAAUGUAAAUGGGAAUAUUUAAAUUUUAAAAUUAUUUCUAAUUUUUUUCUUUAGAAUGUUAACAUUUAAUUUUAUUCUUUUGGAAGUAAUAAAGCAUCUAAAGAUGAUCUAUAAGGUCAAAACAGCACUUAAAUUUUAAUUAUUUAGAAGUUCACUUCAAUAAAGCACUUCUUACAGAGAAUAAAACCAUAUGCAUAGAAUAAUUACACAAAAAUAUUUCUUGUAAUUCAUAAUACAAUUAAAAAUAUUUUUUCUAUUAGAUUAAUCAGUUUAAAAGCCUAAACUGGCCAAAUGACCAAGGCAAUUAAGAUAUCAGCCUAGGGACUUUGGAAACCAGAAAUUGAAUCCAAAUGACAAACACCCCAGAAAUUUUUAAGGUAUGGUCUGUCCCAAAAAUGUCAAGCCAUAUCCCUCACUACCUGGUACUUGUGCACUUGUCCAAAUCCAUGAUAGGCAAGAAAUGAAGUUUCUACUAGACCAACUAUAGUUAUGACCUUUUAGUGCUCUCUGAAUGGAAAAGGGACUAAAACCUGAAACCUAUAGUAGCAGUGGCUCUAGCAAAUUAUGGAAUGGCCUUACUGGGAAUCUAGGAGUCUAGAGCAGGUCCUCAAAAAAUAUUUUUUUAAUAAAAUAGAAUAGAAUAUAGCUACAUAAUGUACAGAAAAAAAGAGCAAAAAUAUUGAAAAUUUAAAUGUUAAAAAUUGAUUAUUUGUAUUUGUUGGAUAAAUAUGUAAACAGAAUUUUGUCAUUUGGAACACCGGAAAGGGAUGGCCAAAAUUUUCUAGAGACAGUUUACAGCUCUAGCUACAGGCCUGGUAUGAAAGAAGGCCCCUCUCAGUGCUCACAAGAAAGGAAAAAAAAUGUCUGAAUUGUUUUAAGGAUCAAAAACUAUAAUUUCUAAUAAAACAUUUGAAAUAUCAUAUAGAUCCAUGUUUAAGAGAGACUAUCUAACAGUCAGAUUUACAAAAUAAAAGCAAACCUUCUGAAUCUUUUGCAAUAUUAAUUCUAAACACAA
Molecule: long non-coding RNA, 2084 nt
Filed under: Centruroides sculpturatus (bark scorpion)
Lineage: Eukaryota; Metazoa; Arthropoda; Arachnida; Scorpiones; Buthidae
Description: uncharacterized LOC111620249
Source: RNAcentral